This 83-nucleotide transfer RNA is filed under the name Capronia epimyces CBS 606.96. It matches the Rfam family "tRNA". From Rfam's summary of the family: Transfer RNA (tRNA) molecules are approximately 80 nucleotides in length. Their secondary structure includes four short double-helical elements and three loops (D, anti-codon, and T loops). Lineage: Eukaryota; Fungi; Ascomycota; Eurotiomycetes; Chaetothyriales; Herpotrichiellaceae. The record is from Rfam by way of RNAcentral.
GCCGGGUUAGCUCAAUCGGUAGAGCGUGUGGCUCUUAUCACCAAGUCACCACAAGGUUAGGGGUUCGACCCCCCUAUUCGGCU